UGGCUCAGAGGGUAGAGCGUCUGCCUGCAAUGCAGGAAACCCAGGUUCUAUCCCUGG
This 57-nucleotide transfer RNA is filed under the name Bos taurus (domestic cattle). It matches the Rfam family "tRNA", at positions 8 to 63 of the family's 71-position model. Rfam says of the family: Transfer RNA (tRNA) molecules are approximately 80 nucleotides in length. Their secondary structure includes four short double-helical elements and three loops (D, anti-codon, and T loops). RNAcentral also lists the same sequence under 4 other names. Lineage: Eukaryota; Metazoa; Chordata; Mammalia; Artiodactyla; Bovidae. The record is from Rfam by way of RNAcentral.